GGCCCGUUGGUCAAGCGGUUAAGACACCGCCCUUUCACGGCGGUAACACAGGUUCGAAUCCCGUACGGGUCA
RNAcentral lists this transfer RNA (72 nucleotides) under Enterococcus faecium. Its description in RNAcentral is "tRNA-Glu". It matches the Rfam family "tRNA". From Rfam's summary of the family: Transfer RNA (tRNA) molecules are approximately 80 nucleotides in length. Their secondary structure includes four short double-helical elements and three loops (D, anti-codon, and T loops). Lineage: Bacteria; Bacillati; Bacillota; Bacilli; Lactobacillales; Enterococcaceae. RNAcentral also lists the same sequence under 2 other names. The record is from RNAcentral.